RNAcentral lists this unclassified non-coding RNA (263 nucleotides) under Hevea brasiliensis (rubber tree). Lineage: Eukaryota; Viridiplantae; Streptophyta; Magnoliopsida; Malpighiales; Euphorbiaceae. The record is from RNAcentral.
GUAACAUAUAGAACUGCAAACAUAAUUAAUUAACUUGGAAUAAAACACUAAUCCCACAUUCCUCUCAAGAUCAAUAACAUCAGAGAAUAUUUAAAUGGAAGGGACUGUUGAUAUUUCAAUUUAUUAUAUUUUCUUUAUCAAUUAACACUCAAAUGAUGAAGCUAUUUCUUAUUAAAUUGUACCAUCUAUUGAGAGGUUUUUAAUUUAAUGUAAAGUCCAAAUAAUAAUAUUGGUAUUUGCAGCUUGCUCUAUUUUGCAGCUUG